RNAcentral lists this transfer RNA (85 nucleotides) under Planctomycetota bacterium. Its description in RNAcentral is "Planctomycetes bacterium tRNA-Tyr". It matches the Rfam family "tRNA". Rfam says of the family: Transfer RNA (tRNA) molecules are approximately 80 nucleotides in length. Their secondary structure includes four short double-helical elements and three loops (D, anti-codon, and T loops). Further hydrogen bonds mediate the characteristic L-shaped molecular structure. tRNAs have two regions of fundamental functional importance: the anti-codon, which is responsible for specific mRNA codon recognition, and the 3' end, to which the tRNAs corresponding amino acid is attached (by aminoacyl-tRNA synthetases). tRNAs cope with the degeneracy of the genetic code in two manners: having more than one tRNA (with a specific anti-codon) for a particular amino acid; and 'wobble' base-pairing, i.e. permitting non-standard base-pairing at the 3rd anti-codon position. RNAcentral also lists the same sequence under 1 other name. Lineage: Bacteria; Pseudomonadati; Planctomycetota. The record is from RNAcentral.
GGGGAGAUUCCCGAGUGGCCAAAGGGGUCAGACUGUAAAUCUGAUGGUUCCGCCUUCACAGGUUCGAAUCCUGUUCUCCCCACCA